This is a long non-coding RNA of Aedes aegypti (yellow fever mosquito), 260 nucleotides long. RefSeq lists it as uncharacterized. The record is from RefSeq and is a predicted model, not a curated record. NCBI's taxonomy places the organism in Eukaryota, Metazoa, Arthropoda, Insecta, Diptera, Culicidae. The transcript has 2 exons.
UAUUGAAACGUCAUUCCAGACUAGUCGUCGUCGGUUUAAGACGUAAUCGUCAAGAUUAGUUAUUGUGUUUAUAUUUUUCUGAAAAAUCAAUUAUUUGUUGAUGAAGUUUUAUUUAUUAAACUUUUGUUAAAGCUUCGCUACUAUUUCUUAAACUGGCCAGCCAAUAUUCCGGAAUCCGGAUUUACUGAAGGAAUUCAGAAUCUGAUAUCGUUAAAUUAAUUUUGGUGUACGAUUACCGAAGUCGAAAAGUGUCUGAUUCC